This 501-nucleotide ribosomal RNA is filed under the name uncultured archaeon. RNAcentral describes it as "bacterial SSU rRNA". It matches the Rfam family "Archaeal small subunit ribosomal RNA", at positions 323 to 824 of the family's 1478-position model. The record is from RNAcentral.
CUACGGGGUGCAGCAGGCGCGAAAACUUUACAAUGCCGGCAACGGCGAUAAGGGGACCUCGAGUGCCAGGUUACAAAUCUGGCUGUCGUGAUGCCUAAAAAGCAUUGCAUAGCAAGGGCCGGGCAAGACCGGUGCCAGCCGCCGCGGUAACACCGGCGGCUCGAGUGGUGACCGUUAUUAUUGGGUCUAAAGGGUCUGUAGCCGGCCGGAUAAGUCUCUUGAGAAAUCCAGCAGCUCAACUGUUGGGCUUUCAGGAGAUACUGUUCGGCUCGAGGCCGGGAGAGGUGAGAGGUACUUCAGGGGUAGGGGUGAAAUCUUGUAAUCCUUGAAGGACCACCAGUGGCGAAGGCGUCUCACCAGAACGGACCUGACGGCAAGGGACGAAAGCUAGGGGCACGAACCGGAUUAGAUACCCGGGUAGUCCUAGCCGUAAACGAUACUCGCUAGGUGUCGGCCACGGUGCGACCGUUGUCGGUGCCGUAGGGAAGCCGUGAAGCGAGC